RNAcentral lists this ribosomal RNA (197 nucleotides) under uncultured bacterium. RNAcentral's name for it is "partial 16S ribosomal RNA". It matches the Rfam family "Bacterial small subunit ribosomal RNA", at positions 328 to 539 of the family's 1533-position model. The record is from RNAcentral.
ACGCUCGACACCUACGGGAGCAGCAGUCGGGAAUAUUGCGCAAUGGAGGGAACUCUGACGCAGUGACGCCGCGUAUAGGAAGAAGGUUUUCGGAUUGUAAACUAUUGUCGUUAGGGAAGAGAAAGGACAGUACCUAAGGAGGAAGCUCCGGCUAACUACGUGCAGCAGCCGCGGUAAUCUGAGCGGGCUGGCAAGGC